This is a non-coding RNA of Pelobates cultripes (western spadefoot toad), 209 nucleotides long. The record is from the annotation of a GenBank genome assembly. Lineage: Eukaryota; Metazoa; Chordata; Amphibia; Anura; Pelobatidae.
AGUUCUUCCCCUGACCAACCCUCCCGCUUGAGACCCCUUGCUACCCGAUACCAAGCCUCUACAGCUUUCGUUAACCCGUCAUCCAGUAACAAACCCUCUUUAUCAACAAGUAAUUUCCUCCAAAACACUGGUUGUAAUCUACCACUGGGUGACAUUUGAAAACCACAAAUCUUUGCUAUCUUCUUCAUUUUUAAAAUAGCCUCUUCCCC